Dreissena polymorpha is the source of this 518-nucleotide long non-coding RNA. RefSeq lists it as uncharacterized. The transcript has 3 exons. Lineage: Eukaryota; Metazoa; Mollusca; Bivalvia; Myida; Dreissenidae. The record is from RefSeq and is a predicted model, not a curated record.
UUCUUUAAGGGAAGUGUGAAGCGAGCAGCGAGAAUUCACGAGAUUCAGUAACUUCUUGAUGAACCUACCCUAACUUACAAAGAGAUCCACUCUGUGAGAUGGCUAUCCUAUUUCCAGGCAUUGACAACUGUGUACAGGACCACAGACAGCCUGUUGACAUACCUUGCUGAGAAGGGAACAGAAGACCCCAAAGCAAAUGGACUUAAGAAGAAGAUCUCCACAGACACGUUUUUGUCUAUCAUCUACUUGCUCAUGUAUGCCAUGGCCCCAGUGACGCAGUUGUCACAAUUUUUCCAGACAGAAAACGUGGAUGUAGGUCUUGUACAGGUGAAGUUAGAUCUUUGUUUGGCUGAUCUGGAAAAGGUAAAAAGCUUGGACUCUCCUCACUCAAAGAAGCUGAUGGAAGAUCUCCCACAUGACAGCUCCACUUUCAAGGGUCAGCAUUAUAUAACCAGAACCAAUUUCAAACUGGAAGACCUUGCCAAUGAAUUUGUGGAUUCAUUGAUAGACAACAUUAA